RNAcentral lists this ribosomal RNA (435 nucleotides) under uncultured bacterium. Its description in RNAcentral is "partial 16S ribosomal RNA". It matches the Rfam family "Bacterial small subunit ribosomal RNA", at positions 29 to 507 of the family's 1533-position model. The record is from RNAcentral.
AACGAACGCUGGCGGCAGGCCUAACACAUGCAAGUCGAGCGGACAUCUUCGGAUGUUAGCGGCGGACGGGUGAGUAACGCGUGGGAACGUGCCCUUUGCUUCGGAAUAGCCUCGGGAAACUGGGAGUAAUACCGGAUGUACCCUUUGGGGGAAAGAUUUAUCGGCAAAGGAUCGGCCCGCGUUGGAUUAGGUAGUUGGUGGGGUAAUGGCCUACCAAGCCGACGAUCCAUAGCUGGUUUGAGAGGAUGAUCAGCCACACUGGGACUGAGACACGGCCCAGACUCCUACGGGAGGCAGCAGUGGGGAAUCUUAGACAAUGGGGGAAACCCUGAUCUAGCCAUGCCGCGUGAGCGAUGAAGGCCUUAGGGUUGUAAAGCUCUUUCACCAGGGAAGAUAAUGACGGUACCCGGAGAAGAAGCCCCGGCUAACUCCGUG